UACGUAGGGGGCAAGCGUUGUCCGGAAUCAUUGGGCGUAAAGCGCGUGUAGGCGGCUGGGUAAGUCCGCUCUGAAAGCCCGGGGCUCAACCCCGGGAGGCGGGUGGAUACUGCUCAGCUCGAGUCCGGAAGAGGAGUGUGGAAUUCCUGGUGUAGCGGUGAAAUGCGCAGAUAUCAGGAGGAAUACCAGAGGCGAAGGCGGCACCCUGGGUCUGACCUGACACUGAUCCGCGACAGCAUGGGGAGCGAACGGG
RNAcentral lists this ribosomal RNA (253 nucleotides) under uncultured bacterium. Its description in RNAcentral is "partial 16S ribosomal RNA". It matches the Rfam family "Bacterial small subunit ribosomal RNA", at positions 524 to 776 of the family's 1533-position model. The record is from RNAcentral.